UACGGGGGGGGCAAGCGUUGUUCGGAAUUACUGGGCGUAAAGGGCUCGUAGGUGGCCAACUAAGUCAGACGUGAAAUCCCCAGGCUCAACUUGGGAACUGCGUCUGAUACUGGAUGGCUUGAAUUCGGGAGAGGGAUGCAGAAUUCCAGGUGUAGCGGUGAAAUGCGUUGAUAUCCGAAGGAACGCCGGUGGCGAAAGCGACGGACUGGACCUCUUCUGACGCUGAGGCGCGAAAGCCAGGGGAGCAAACAGG
RNAcentral lists this ribosomal RNA (253 nucleotides) under uncultured bacterium. RNAcentral describes it as "partial 16S ribosomal RNA". It matches the Rfam family "Bacterial small subunit ribosomal RNA", at positions 524 to 776 of the family's 1533-position model. The record is from RNAcentral.